This 519-nucleotide ribosomal RNA is filed under the name uncultured eukaryote. RNAcentral describes it as "SSU rRNA". It matches the Rfam family "Eukaryotic small subunit ribosomal RNA", at positions 1161 to 1699 of the family's 1831-position model. The record is from RNAcentral.
AGGGCACCACCAGGAGUGGAGCCUGCGGCUUAAUUUGACUCAACAUGGGGAAACUUACCCGGCCUGGACACUGGAAGGAUUGACAGAUUGAGAGCUCUUUCUUGAUUCAGUGGGUGGUGGUGCAUGGCCGUUCUUAGUUGGUGGAGCGAUUUGUCUGGUUAAUUCCGAUAACGAACGAGACUCUAGCCUAUUAAAUAGGCUCUCGGCUUUUAAACGCCGGGAGGACUUCUUAGAGGGACAGGUGGCGGUUCAGCCGCACGAAAGAGAGCAAUAACAGGUCUGUGAUGCCCUUUGUUGUCCGGGGCCGCACGCGCGCUACACUGAAGAGAUCAGCGUGCUUUACGUUCCUGCUCCGACCGGAGUGGGGAACCCAGUGAACCUUCUUCGUGAUUGGGAUAGAAGAUUGUAAUUAUUCUUCUUGAACGAGGAAUUCCCAGUAAAUGCGAGUCAUAAGCUCGCGUUGAUUACGUCCCUGCCCUUUGUACACACCGCCCGUCGCUACUACCGAUUGAACGAUUU